AAGGGACAGUGAGUCAUCGAAUCUUUGAACGCACAUUGCGCCCUUUGGUAUUCCAAAGGGCAUGCCUGUUCGAGCGUCAUUUGUACCCUCAAGCUUUGCUUGGUGUUGGGCGUCUUGUCUCUAGCUUUGCUGGAGACUCGCCUUAAAGUAAUUGGCAGCCGGCCUACUGGUUUCGGAGCGCAGCACAAGUCGCACUCUCUAUCAGCAAAGGUCUAGCAUCCAUUAAGCCUUUUUUUCAACUUUUGACCUCGGAUCAGGUAGGGAUACCCGCUGAACUUAAGCAUAUCAAUAAGCGGAGGA
This 300-nucleotide unclassified non-coding RNA is filed under the name uncultured Alternaria. RNAcentral's name for it is "sequence contains 5.8S rRNA gene, ITS2". The stretch from base 1 to 79 matches the Rfam family "5.8S ribosomal RNA", at positions 76 to 154 of the family's 154-position model. The record is from RNAcentral. Lineage: Eukaryota; Fungi; Ascomycota; Dothideomycetes; Pleosporales; Pleosporaceae.